RNAcentral lists this non-coding RNA (67 nucleotides) under Pseudonocardia sp. The record is from RNAcentral. Lineage: Bacteria; Bacillati; Actinomycetota; Actinomycetes; Pseudonocardiales; Pseudonocardiaceae.
CCGGACCGCCCACCCGGCGGCUCCCCGGACGAGACGCGCCGUACCCGGAACGCCAAGACGACGCAUC